GUGAGGAAUUUUCCGCAAUGGGCGAAAGCCUGACGGAGCAAUGCCGCGUGAAGGAUGAAGGCCUAUGGGUUGUAAACUUCUUUUCUCAGAAAAGAAUUAUGACGGUAUCUGAGGAAUAAGCAUCGGCUAACUCUGUGCCAGCAGCCGCGGUAAGACAGAGGAUGCAAGCGUUAUCCGGAAUGAUUGGGCGUAAAGCGUCUGUAGGUUGUUUAAAAAGUAUUCUGUCAAAGAUUAGGGCUUAACCCUAGAUAGGCAGAAUAAACUUUUAAGCUAGAGUUUGGUAGAGGCAGAGGGAAUUCCCGGUGGAGCGGUGAAAUGCGUAGAUAUCGGGAGGAACACCAAAGGCGAAGGCACUCUGCUGGGCCAAUACUAACACUGAGAGACGAAAGAGAGGGGAGCAAAUGGGAUUAGAAACCCUAGUAGUCC
Molecule: ribosomal RNA, 426 nt
Filed under: uncultured bacterium
Lineage: Bacteria
Description: partial 16S ribosomal RNA
Rfam family: Bacterial small subunit ribosomal RNA
Source: RNAcentral